AAAUGAAUUGACGGGGGCCCGCACAAGCGGAGGAACAUGUGGUUUAAUUCGAUGAUACGCGAGGAACCUUACCUGGGCUCAAACGCAUUCGGAAGUGCGCUGAAAGGCGUAUGCCAGCGAUGGCCGUUUGCGAGGUGCUGCAUGGUUGUCGUCAGCUCGUGCCGUGAGGUGUCGGGUUAAGUCCCAUAACGAGCGCAACCCCUACUGCUAGUUGCCAGCGCGUAAAGGCGGGGACUCUAGCGGAACUGCCGGCGUAAGCCGUGAGGAAGGUGGGGAUGACGUCAAAUCAGCACGGCCCUUACGUCCAGGGCUACACACGUGUUACAAUGGCCAGUACAGAGGGCAGCCACCCCGCGAGGGGGCGCUAAUCCCGAAAGCUGGUCCCAGUUCGGAUCGGAGUCUGCAACCCGACUCCGUGAAGCUGGAUUCGCUAGUAAUCGCGCAUCAGCCACGGCGCGGUGAAUACGUUCCCGGGCCUUGUACACACCGCCCGU
This 494-nucleotide ribosomal RNA is filed under the name uncultured bacterium. RNAcentral's name for it is "bacterial SSU rRNA". It matches the Rfam family "Bacterial small subunit ribosomal RNA", at positions 903 to 1397 of the family's 1533-position model. The record is from RNAcentral.